UGCCGCCCUGAAGGGCGUAUGGUGGAUGCCUUGGCAGACAGUACCGAUGAAGGACGUUUGAGGAUGCGAUAAGCCUCGGGGAGCCUCCAACAUGGCUUCGAUCCGAGGAUUUCCGAAUGGGGCAACCCGCCGGCCGUCAUGGGCCGGCACGGAACCUUGUUGUUCCGGGGGUACGCAGGGAAGUGAAACAUCUCAGUACCUGCAGGAAGGGAUACUCCGUGAGUAGUGGCGAGCGAAAGCGGAUCAGACCAAACCAUGGGCGCGUGAUACCCGUCGGGGGUUGCGUUCGUGGUGUUGCGGGAGCGUGUGUCCCGGUUCCGACGGACCGGGCGGGAGUCAUAAAACGGCUUGCCAGGGGAACAGGCUUGAAGGCCUGGCCGCAGAGGGUGCCAGCCCCGUACCUGGAAGCUUGCCGUCUUCCGAUCAUGUGUCCCAAGUAGCGCGGGCCUCGUGGAAUCCCGUGUGAAUCGGCCCCGACCGUGGGGUAAGUCUAAGCAUACCUGUCUGACCGAUAGCGUACCAGUACCGUGAGGGAAAGGUGAAAAGCACCCCGGGAGGGGAGUGAAAGAGUUCCUGAAACCGUGCGCCUACAAUCCGUCGGAGCCUCCUUGUGGGGUGACGGCGUGCCUAUCGAAAAAUGAGUCUGCGAGUCAGUGGUGCGUGGCGAGGCUAACCCGUGGUGGGGGAGCCGUAGCGAAGGCGAGUCUCAAAAGGCGUUUUGAGUCGCGCGCCCUGGACCCGAAGCGGGAUGAUCUAGCCCUGGGCAGGUUGAAGCGCGGGUAAGACCGCGUGGAGGACCGAACCCACCUGGGUUGAAAACCGGGGGGGAUGACCUGGGGCUAGGGGUGAAAGGCCAAUCAAAUUCCGUGAUAGCUGGUUCUCUCCGAAAUGCAUUUAGGUGCAGCGUCGGUUGAUUGCAUCGCGGGGGGUAGAGCUACUGGAUGCUUGCGGGCCCGUGUCGGGUACCAAUAGCAGCCAAACUCCGAAUACCGUGGAUGUGUAUUCCGGCAGUGAGUCGGCGGGGGAUAAGCUCCGUCGUCGAGAGGGAGACAGCCCAGAUCGUCGUCUAAGGUCCCGAAGCGUGUGCUAAGUGGGAAAGGAUGUGGAGUCGCAUAGACAGCCAGGAGGUUGGCUCAGAAGCAGCCAUCCUUGAAAGAGUGCGUAACAGCUCACUGGUCUAGUGGUUCCGCGCCGACAAUGUAGCGGGGCUCAAGCACACCACCGAAGACGCGGCAGCGGCCUUUGCGGCCGUUGGGUAGGAGAGCGUCCCGCGUGGGGCGAAGCGGCCGGGGAACCGUGCCGUGGACCGCGCGGGAGUGAGAAUGCAGACAUGAGUAGCGAGAGACGGGUGAGGAUCCCGUCCGCUGGAUGACCAAGGGUUCCGGGGCCACGUUCGUCGUCCCCGGGUGAGUCGGGUCCUAAGGCGAGGCCGACAGGCGUAGUCGAAUGGAUGAACGGGUGGAUAUUCCCGUACCGGCGGCGUACCGUAAGAGCCGAACGGAUGAGUACUAACCUCCGGUCGCGUGGCGUCGUUCCUUCGGGGUUCGGGGUCCGCGGUCGUUGGGAGCGUAGUCCUGGUAGGCUAGCGCACAGGGGUGACACGGAAUGGGAGCCGGCCGCGGAGGUGGUUUUCCGUGGUCAAGCACGCAGCCCGUCCCAUAGGCAAAUCCGUGGGACGCAUAGGGUGAGGUGUGAUGAUGGGCGUCCUUUGGACGCGAUAUCCGGUGGUCCAGGCCGUCGAGAAAAGCCUCGGCGCGAGGGGCGUCGCCGCCCGUACCCCAAACCGACACUGGUGGUCAGGUAGAGAAUACCAAGGCGAUCGAGCGAAUCCUGGUCAAGGAACUCGGCAAAUCACUCCCGUGCCUUCGGUAUAAGGGAGACCCCCGGGCGUGAAGAGGCUUGCCCUCGGAGCGUUGGGGGGUGGCACAGACCAGGGGGUAGCGACUGUUUACCAAAAACACAGGUGCAUGCGAAGGCGCAAGCCGCUGUAUAUGCACUGACGCCUGCCCGGUGCCGGAAGGUUAAGAGGAUCCGUCAGCCCCUUUUGGGGUGAAGCGGUGAAUUCAAGCCCCGGUAAACGGCGGUGGUAACUAUAACCAUCCUAAGGUAGCGAAAUUCCUUGUCGGGUAAGUUCCGACCUGCACGAAUGGCGUAACGACUUCCCCACUGUCUCGACCAGGAGCUCGGCGAAAUUGCAGUACGAGUAAAGAUGCUCGUUAAGCGCAGAAGGACGAAAAGACCCCGGGACCUUUACUAUACCUUGGUAUUGGCGUUAGGCGCGGAUUGUGUAGCAUAGGCGGGAGGCUUCGAAGCAUGGGCGCCAGCCCGUGUGGAGCCGCAAGGUGAAAUACCGCUCUGUUCUC
Molecule: ribosomal RNA, 2363 nt
Filed under: Bifidobacterium pseudocatenulatum DSM 20438 = JCM 1200 = LMG 10505
Lineage: Bacteria; Bacillati; Actinomycetota; Actinomycetes; Bifidobacteriales; Bifidobacteriaceae
Description: bacterial LSU rRNA
Rfam family: Bacterial large subunit ribosomal RNA
Source: RNAcentral